This 86-nucleotide transfer RNA is filed under the name Bryobacteraceae bacterium. Its description in RNAcentral is "tRNA-Leu". It matches the Rfam family "tRNA". Rfam says of the family: Transfer RNA (tRNA) molecules are approximately 80 nucleotides in length. Their secondary structure includes four short double-helical elements and three loops (D, anti-codon, and T loops). The record is from RNAcentral. Lineage: Bacteria; Pseudomonadati; Acidobacteriota; Terriglobia; Bryobacterales; Bryobacteraceae.
GCGGAUGUGGCGGAACUGGCAGACGCGCUACGUUGAGGUCGUAGUGGGGUUAUCCCGUGGAGGUUCAAGUCCUCUCAUCCGCACCA